CUACGGGGGGCUGCAGUGGGGAAUAUUGGACAAUGGGCGAAAGCCUGAUCCAGCCAUGCCGCGUGUGUGAAGAAGGCCUUCGGGUUGUAAAGCACUUUCAGUGGGGAAGAAAGCCUUGGGGCUAAUACCCUCGAGGAAGGACAUCACCCACAGAAGAAGCACCGGCUAACUCCGUGCCAGCAGCCGCGGUAAUACGGAGGGUGCGAGCGUUAAUCGGAAUUACUGGGCGUAAAGCGCGCGUAGGCGGUCUGAUAAGCCGGUUGUGAAAGCCCCGGGCUCAACCUGGGAACGGCAUCCGGAACUGUCAGGCUAGAGUGCAGGAGAGGAAGGUAGAAUUCCCGGUGUAGCGGUGAAAUGCGUAGAGAUCGGGAGGAAUACCAGUGGCGAAGGCGGUCUUCUGGACUGACACUGACGCUGAGGUGCGAAAGCGUGGGUAGCAAACAGGAUUAGAUACCCCGGUAGUC
Molecule: ribosomal RNA, 464 nt
Filed under: Vreelandella stevensii
Lineage: Bacteria; Pseudomonadati; Pseudomonadota; Gammaproteobacteria; Oceanospirillales; Halomonadaceae
Description: partial 16S ribosomal RNA
Rfam family: Bacterial small subunit ribosomal RNA
Source: RNAcentral